RNAcentral lists this long non-coding RNA (501 nucleotides) under Heterocephalus glaber (naked mole-rat). RNAcentral describes it as "lncRNA (ENSHGLG00000038129.1)". The record is from RNAcentral. Lineage: Eukaryota; Metazoa; Chordata; Mammalia; Rodentia; Bathyergidae.
AGAUGGGGGAGACUCGGUCUAUCCACAAACUGAUGCAACUGAGUGAAUAGAUGGAUGCAAUCAUCUCUCCUAGCUUCCCUGCCCUUGUGUUGCCAGGUUCUGGGGGCCUGUGGGCUCUUUCCAGAGAUUCUUUCCAGGUUCUUGUCCUGAACAAAGAACUGGAUAAGACAAAUGAAGCUUUACAUUCGUGAAAGGCUGACAUCAGACUCGCUUGAUUUCACAACAGAACUGAAGACAGCGCUUCCUGAUUGGCCCCAGGUGCAGGGCUCAGGAACUGUUUUUCUGCGCAUGUGUUCUGGAUCUCCUCGAUUGACAGGUCAUGCCCACUUGCUCAGCCGGCUGGCCACGCCCUAGUCUUGCCUCACUUGGACAUGGAACUCAGUGUUCUCAAUGUGCCUGUUGGCAUUCCCUGUCUGUCUGCCCUUCUCUGUAUUAUCCAUUUCUCCCUCCAUCCUCUGCACCCCGUGGUACCUAUGCAGGUUGGUGUCAUGAAGAUGUGGG